UACUUCGACGCAGUUUCCAAGCUACAACUGUGUUCUCCAGAUCUAAAAUCACCACGUCGAAGUGAGCAACUCGACCAAGAUAAAUCUCUGAUGGAAGCCUUGGAAAUUCACCAUCAUCAUUCGACCCAAGAAUUUGAGGCACUGCAAGCUGAUCACACGAAGCUUUUAGAGAAGUUAGAGCGGAGGGAAGAAAGGGAAAAGAUACUUAGAAAAAAAAUCGACCGUCUAGAGCAUGAGUUGACCAAGGAGCAGGAGAUUCGGGACCUAGAACGGGAGUGUGCCAAACUGGACGAGGGAGGCUUGACAGAGGAGGCUGAGAGGUUGUCUUUGGAGAAGAAACUCGAGAGUGCUAAACAGGAGCUUGAAAUUGUACACACUGAAAAUCUUAAGCUCAGUGAUGACGAGUUUGAGAAAGAUAUGGCUCGGUGUCAGGCAGAAUGUGAAACUGUAAUAGCAAUUACCUCCAUGCAAGCCGAGCUUGUGGACUUGAGGGGUGAAGUUGAAUCCUUAUGUCUAGAGCUUGCAGCUGCCAGGGAAAUGGUCUCAGAGCGCACAAAUGAGCUAGAUAAAACUAGGGUGAUGCUCACCGACGUUAAAGG
This 599-nucleotide long non-coding RNA is filed under the name Physcomitrium patens. Its description in RNAcentral is "long non-coding RNA (PPAT_LNC003378)". The record is from RNAcentral. Lineage: Eukaryota; Viridiplantae; Streptophyta; Bryopsida; Funariales; Funariaceae.